UACAGAGGUCUCAAGCGUUGUUCGGAUUCAUUGGGCGUAAAGGGUGCGUAGGCGGCGCGGUAAGUCGGGUGUGAAAUCUCGGAGCUUAACUCCGAAAUUGCAUUCGAUACUGCCGUGCUUGAGGACUGGAGAGGAGACUGGAAUUUACGGUGUAGCGGUGAAAUGCGUAGAUAUCGUAAGGAAGACCAGUGGCGAAGGCGGGUCUCUGGACAGUUCCUGACGCUGAGGCACGAAGGUCAGGGGAGCAAACAGG
This 253-nucleotide ribosomal RNA is filed under the name uncultured bacterium. RNAcentral's name for it is "partial 16S ribosomal RNA". It matches the Rfam family "Bacterial small subunit ribosomal RNA", at positions 524 to 776 of the family's 1533-position model. The record is from RNAcentral.